Molecule: long non-coding RNA, 2676 nt
Organism: Homo sapiens (human)
Lineage: Eukaryota; Metazoa; Chordata; Mammalia; Primates; Hominidae
Product: long intergenic non-protein coding RNA 1232
Source: Ensembl
UUUCAGGGGGAUGCCCUGGGUAAAGUUUGGGUCACCUAAUGGGCCCUCUACUUUUCAAAGUCCUCUUCUCUGUUCCAGACCACUAUGGGCAACUCUCUAUCUAUUCGACCUGAUUCCACUAUGGGCAAUUCUACACCUGUUCCACCGGAUUCCUCACUUGGCUACAUCAUCCACCAUUGGAAUCAAUUUGACCCUGACACUCUAAAGGGAAAAUGUAUAAUUUUUUUCUGUAAUACUGUUUGGCCCCAUUAUGAGCUGCCCAGCCCCCAGCAAUGGGCAGUCAGUGGUAGCCUUAAUUAUGACACCAUCCUGCAAUUAGACCUACUUUGCAAGAGGCUGGGAAGAUGGUCAGAAGUCCCAUAUGUACAGGCUUUUAUCAAAAUAUCAAAAACCUAACAAUCUGUGAAACUCCCAGAACCCACCCCCCAAAGGAAAGUACUAAGGCAGAACUAGAUAUUAUAGAUGACCCUCUUUUACAAGGGCUAGCUGUCUCUCAGGGUGAACAGCAACCAUCCCCAUAAAGCCCCUUGCCAAGUGCUCCUGAGGCUAAAACCCAGGAGCAAACACCAGGGACCCUACUAAAUCCCCCUCACACUUGGAGAGGAAUGCCAUAUUCAAUUCUCUCUCCAGCCCUGCUACCUCUUAGGGAAGUAGCAGGAACCAAGGGGCCAGUCCUAGUGCAGGCCCCCUUCUCUAUAAUUUAUACAUACAAUAUAAGGAAAAGCUAGGAAACUAUUCUGAGAAUCCUAAGAAACUUGCAGAUGGGUUCCAGCGUUUGACCUUAGCCUCUGAUCUAUCAUGGAGAGAUGUUCAAUUCAUUCUAGCAACCUGUUACACACCCUCAGAAAAGGAAUGAAUCUCUGAGGCCGCCCACCUGCAAGCAAUGAAUUAUUUGCCCAAAACUCUCAGGGCAAUCAUCCCGGCCCAGACACAGUUCCCACUAUUGAUCAUAAUUGGGACUAUAACACUCCUGAGGAAAUGAACAACCGGGCUAAAUUUCUUGAGGCUCUCCUUGGAGGAAUGAGAAAGGGAAUAACUAAAGGCAGUAAAUUAUGAUAAAGUAAGGGAGGUUACACAAGGCAAGGAGGAAAAUCCAGCCAUGUUUUAUGGCAGGCUGGAGGGAGACUUUAAAAAAUAUACUAAUCUGGACCCUUCCUCUCCCGAAGGCAAAAUAUUAAUAGCACAGCAUUUCAUUAGCCAAUCUGCCCCAGACAUUAGAGAUAAGCUCCAAAAGCUACAGAUGGGGCCACAAACUAAUCAAAAUCAGCUUACUUAUAUCACAUUUAUGGUGUAUAACAAUCGUGACCUGAAGGAAGGAAAAAGGGAACAGAGUAAACAAAAUGGCAAGCCAAAAGUAUGGCAGCCAUCAUUGACGAUGCCCUGAAUGUACAAAGAGUGUCUAAGGGAAACCCGAAGGGCCAUAAAGAUAAUGCCAGCAAAGGCUCUUGCUUCAAAUGCAAGAAAAGAAGACAUUGGGCAAAGGAUUGUGCUAAGUCCCCGCCAGGCCCCUGCCGUCAAUGCAAGGGCACCAGUCAUGACCCCUGGCACUGGAGAAUUGACUGCCCAUGUUCCCACUGAGGGGCUCAGUCAGUCAAAACUCUAGCAGUGCAAAAGGAGGAAUUAGAUGAAGACUGAAGGGGCCUGAGGUCUUCCUCACUGCCCCUGUUCAGGAACAUUGUAAUUACUACUGAGGAGCCCCAGGUAACUCUGGACGUCAUGGGCACCCAAAUUCAGUUUCUUUUUGAUGCAGGAGCAAAUUACUCUGUUCUUACUGCUUAUGCAGUAAGGCGUUCCUCCCAGUCCACAAGUGUUAUGGGAAUAGAAUGGAAGCCACAAACGAGUUUUUAUUUUAUUUUAUUUUAUUUUAUUUUACUUUAAGUUCUGGGAUACAUAUGCAGAAUGUGCAGGUUUGUUACAUAGGUAUACAUGUGCCAUGGUGGUUUGCUGCACCUAUCGACCCAUCAUCUAGGUUUUAAGUCCCACAUGGAUUAGGUAUUUGUCCUAAUGCUCUUCCUCCCCUUGCCCCCAACCCCCCAACAGGCCUUGGUGUGUGAUGUUCCCCUCCCUGUGUCCAUGUGUUCUCAUUGUUCACCUCCCACUUAUUAGUGAGAACAUGCGGUGUUUGGUUUUCUGUUCCUGUGUUAGUUUGCUGAGAAUGAUGGUUUCCAGCUUCAUCCAUGUUCCUGCAAAGGACAUGAACUCAUUCUUUUUUAUGGUUGCGUAGUAUUCCAUGGUGUAUAUGUGCCAUAUUUUCUUUAUCCCGUCUAUCACUGAUGGGCAUUUGGGUUGGUUCCAAGUCUUUGCCAUGGUAAAUAGUGUUGCAGUAAACAUACAUGUGCAUGUAUCUUUAUAAUAGAAUGAUUUAUAAUCCUUUGGGUAUAUAUCCAGUAAUGGGAUUGCUGGGUCAAAUGGUAUUUCUGGUUCUAGAUCCCUGAGGAAUCACCACACUGUCUUCCACAAUGGUUGAACUAAUUUACACUCCCACCAACAGUGUAAAAAUGUUCCUACUUCUCCACAGCCUCACCAGCCUGUUUCCUGACUUUUUAAUGAUCACCAUUCUAACUGGUGUGAGAUGGUAUCUCACUGUGAUUUUGAUUUGCAUUUCUCUAACAACAAGUGAUGAGCAUUUUUUCAUAUGUUUGUUGGCUGCAUAAAUGUCUUCUUUUGAGAAGUGUC